GAUGAAGAACGUAGUGAAAUGCGAUAAGUAAUGUGAAUUGCAGAAUUCAGUGAAUCAUCGAAUCUUUGAACGCACCUUGCACCCUUUGGCAUUCCGAAGGGUAUGCUCGUUUGAGUGUCAUUGUACUCUCACUCUCCCGAUACUUUUGGAUCGGGAGUGGUGGACUUGGGUGCUGCCGCUUAACUGUGGCUCGCCUUAAAUGAAGUAGUGCAACUCUCGGUUGGACAUAGUACGGCGUGAUAAGUGUCUUCGCCGGCGCCUCAUUCGAGGGUGGCCGAUCGGGAGCUCUGUGCUUCAAACUGUCUUCGGACAACAUCUGACAACUUGACCUCUAAUCGAGUAGGACUACCCGCUGAACUUAAGCAUAUCAAUAAGCGGAGGA
This 382-nucleotide unclassified non-coding RNA is filed under the name soil metagenome. Its description in RNAcentral is "partial contains 5.8S ribosomal RNA, internal transcribed spacer 2, and large subunit ribosomal RNA". The stretch from base 1 to 120 matches the Rfam family "5.8S ribosomal RNA", at positions 35 to 154 of the family's 154-position model. The record is from RNAcentral.